Molecule: ribosomal RNA, 1333 nt
Filed under: uncultured bacterium
Lineage: Bacteria
Description: bacterial SSU rRNA
Rfam family: Bacterial small subunit ribosomal RNA
Source: RNAcentral
CGCAUAACGUCGCAAGACCAAAGAGGGGGACCUUCGGGCCUCUUGCCAUCGGAUGUGCCCAGAUGGGAUUAGCUAGUAGGUGGGGUAACGGCUCACCUAGGCGACGAUCCCUAGCUGGUCUGAGAGGAUGACCAGCCACACUGGAACUGAGACACGGUCCAGACUCCUACGGGAGGCAGCAGUGGGGAAUAUUGCACAAUGGGCGCAAGCCUGAUGCAGCCAUGCCGCGUGUAUGAAGAAGGCCUUCGGGUUGUAAAGUACUUUCAGCGGGGAGGAAGGGAGUAAAGUUAAUACCUUUGCUCAUUGACGUUACCCGCAGAAGAAGCACCGGCUAACUCCGUGCCAGCAGCCGCGGUAAUACGGAGGGUGCAAGCGUUAAUCGGAAUUACUGGGCGUAAAGCGCACGCAGGCGGUUUGUUAAGUCAGAUGUGAAAUCCCCGGGCUCAACCUGGGAACUGCAUCUGAUACUGGCAAGCUUGAGUCUCGUAGAGGGGGGUAGAAUUCCAGGUGUAGCGGUGAAAUGCGUAGAGAUCUGGAGGAAUACCGGUGGCGAAGGCGGCCCCCUGGACGAAGACUGACGCUCAGGUGCGAAAGCGUGGGGAGCAACCAGGAUUAGAUACCCUGGUAGUCCACGCCGUAAACGAUGUCGACUUGGAGGUUGUGCCCUUGAGGCGUGGCUUCCGGAGCUAACGCGUUAAGUCGACCGCCUGGGGAGUACGGCCGCAAGGUUAAAACUCAAAUGAAUUGACGGGGGCGCGCACAAGCGGUGGAGCAUGUGGUUUAAUUCGAUGCAACGCGAAGAACCUUACCUGGUCUUGACAUCCACGGAAGUUUUCAGAGAUGAGAAUGUGCCUUCGGGAACCGUGAGACAGGUGCUGCAUGGCUGUCGUCAGCUCGUGUUGUGAAAUGUUGGGUUAAGUCCCGCAACGAGCGCAACCCUUAUCCUUUGUUGCCAGCGGUCCGGCCGGGAACUCAAAGGAGACUGCCAGUGAUAAACUGGAGGAAGUGUGGGGAUGACGUCAAGUCAUCAUGGCCCUUACGACCAGGGCUACACACGUGCUACAAUGGCGCAUACAAAGAGAAGCGACCUCGCGAGAGCAAGCGGACCUCAUAAAGUGCGUCGUAGUCCGGAUUGGAGUCUGCAACUCGACUCCAUGAAGUCGGAAUCGCUAGUAAUCGUGGAUCAGAAUGCCACGGUGAAUACGUUCCCGGGCCUUGUACACACCGCCCGUCACACCAUGGGAGUGGGUUGCAAAAGAAGUAGGUAGCUUAACCUUCGGGAGGGCGCUUGCCCCUUUGUGAUUCAUGGCUGGGGUGAAGUCGUCACAAGGUA